This 312-nucleotide ribosomal RNA is filed under the name Loxosceles sp. SP30. RNAcentral's name for it is "partial 12S ribosomal RNA". The record is from RNAcentral. Lineage: Eukaryota; Metazoa; Arthropoda; Arachnida; Araneae; Sicariidae.
AGGUACUAAAUAUAAACCACAAUAUAAUGGCGGCAUACAUUUUAUUAAAGGAACUUGUAAAUUAACCGACAACACACGUUAAAAUCAACUUUAUCAAAAUAGCUGAUAUACCUCCGUCAAAGAAUUAAUUUAACUUAAAAAUUCUAAAAAAAUAUUCAUUUAAUAAAUCAGGUCUAGGUGUCGCCCAAGAUAAAGACUUUAUGAGUUACACUAAAGAACAACUUAAGGACGAUUUCAUUUAAAAAUAAUUCAGAAAAAGAAUUUAUAAGUAAUUCAUAGUAAAAAUCUAUUAAUGAAAAAACAACCAUGUGC